RNAcentral lists this ribosomal RNA (253 nucleotides) under uncultured bacterium. Its description in RNAcentral is "partial 16S ribosomal RNA". It matches the Rfam family "Bacterial small subunit ribosomal RNA", at positions 524 to 776 of the family's 1533-position model. The record is from RNAcentral.
UACGUAGGGGGCGAGCGUUGUCCGGAUUUAUUGGGCGUAAAGAGCGUGUAGGCGGCUUGGUAGGUCCGCUGUGAAAACUCGAGGCUCAACCUCGAGAUGUCGGCGGAAACCACUUGGCUAGAGUCCGGAAGAGGAGAGUGGAAUUCCUGGUGUAGCGGUGAAAUGCGCAGAUAUCAGGAAGAACACCUAUGGCGAAGGCAGCUCUCUGGGACGGUACUGACGCUGAGACGCGAAAGCGUGGGGAGCGAACAGG